This 994-nucleotide long non-coding RNA is filed under the name Homo sapiens (human). RNAcentral's name for it is "HSALNT0406428". The record is from RNAcentral. Lineage: Eukaryota; Metazoa; Chordata; Mammalia; Primates; Hominidae.
CCUGCCCCAACUCCCAUCUGGGGCCCGUCAGCUCUGCUUAUGGCCAGGAGCAUGUGGCAGCCGUGGGGGCAGGGAGGACAGCCUUGGCUUCACCCCAGCAGGAAAGGCAGGUUCUGACGAGGAAGCAACUGGGCGGGUCCAGCCCCCAUCAGGUGGUGCCCAGGGAGGCAGUCCAGGCACCCGCCUGGCCUGGCUCCAGGCUUCGGCCACAGUCUUCCACCAGGAUGUGACUGAAGGCCUGGCCGAGGUCUGCAGGCCACCUGGAGGGCACCUGGAGAGCCAGGAGCGUAAGUGCUGGGCCCUGGGUCUACCCCACGACCCCUCUGCCUCUCCCCAGGCUGUGAGCUCCCCGAGGACGACGCCCCCUCUGCUUACACCACCUGCAGGCGCUCCAGCCCCGGCACUGGAAGGCCUUGGCCACCGACACAGCAGCCUCAUCUUCUGGCUGGAUAAACUCACCUCAGAGCCAAGCGGCCCCGGAGAAGCUGCCUCUGUGGCCCGGUCUGCAGGGUGGAGUUACCGUGGGUCCCUCGCAUCAGACAUCUGCCUGCGGACCAGACACCUGCUCUCCUCCAAGGAGCCUCAAUGUCCAGAGAAGGGAUCCUGCGGUGACCGAGGGACAGGCCUGUCUUCUGGGUCACCACAUCUUGGCAUUUAUUAUUUGCCCCCAGGAAGGUCUGAAGGAUUUUACUUUUAAAAACCAUAGUCAGCCGGGCGCGGUGGCUAACGCCUGUAAUCCCAGCACUUAGGGAGGCCGAGGCGGGUGGAUCACCUGAGGUCAGGAGUUCAAGAACAAUCUGACCAACAUGCAGAAACCCUGUCUCUACUAAUACUACAAAAUUAGCCAGGUGUGGUGGUGGGCGCCCGUAAUCCCAGCUACUUGGGGGGCUGAGGCAGGAGAAUUGCUUGAACCUGCGGGGUGGAGGUUGCAGUGAGCUGAGAUCACACCAUUGCACUCCAGCCUGGGCAACAAGAGCGAAACUCUGUCUCAAAA